GAAGAAUGUCAAGCCUUUUGUUGAGUGGCUACAGAAUGCCGAGUCAGAAUCGGAAGAGGAGUGACUACUUGAGAGCUAUUCUCUCACGUUCAGUUAGUGUUGUUACUUUGUUCAUGGAAUAAAGUUGGUCAUGUUAUAGUUUCUGGGGAGUUGAAAUAAUCGGGGAUCAUUGACGGGUUGCAUUUCUGUGUUUUGUGUCGGUCAGUGAUUUCUGGUGGGACUCUCGUAGUCUUCAUUGGAGAGUCUUGUGUCUCUUUAACAUUGACACAUUGUGCGCUUGUUGUGAUUUGUGUGGAUUUGCAUUUAUAUGCCUAAUUGCUAGCUUGAGUUUGUUUGAUGAUUAUUAAUUUCUCAAUGCGUUUUAUAUUUCAUUAUUGGUGUGCCAUUGUGCAUGGAAAACAACAACGUUGCCUGGAAGGACAGAAUCAAUAUCUUUGGUUUUACAAUAAAAU
This 452-nucleotide unclassified non-coding RNA is filed under the name Hevea brasiliensis (rubber tree). The record is from RNAcentral. Lineage: Eukaryota; Viridiplantae; Streptophyta; Magnoliopsida; Malpighiales; Euphorbiaceae.